GACGAACGCUGGCGGCGUGCUUAACACAUGCAAGUCGAACGGAAAGGCCCUGCUUUUGUUUGGUGCUCGAGUGGCGAACGGGUGAGUAACACGUGAGUAACCUUCCCUUGACUUUGGGAUAACUUCAGGAAACUGGGGCUAAUACCGGAUAGGAGCUCCUGCUGCAUGGUGGGGGUUGGAAAGUUUCGGCGGUUUGGGAUGGACUCGCGGCUUGUCGGCUUGUUGGUGGGGUAGUGGCUUACCAAGGCUUUGACGGGUAGCCGGCCUGAGAGGGUGACCGGCCCCAUUGGGACUGAGAUACGGCCCAGAAUCCUACGGGAGGCAGCAGUGGGGAAUAUUGCACAAUGGGCGGAAGCCUUAUGCAGCAACGCCGCGUGCGGGAUGACGGCCUUCGGGUUGUAAACCGCUUUCGCCUGUGACGAAGCGUGAGUGACGGUAAUGGGUAAAGAAGCACCGGCUAACUACGUG
RNAcentral lists this ribosomal RNA (468 nucleotides) under uncultured bacterium. RNAcentral describes it as "partial 16S ribosomal RNA". It matches the Rfam family "Bacterial small subunit ribosomal RNA", at positions 28 to 507 of the family's 1533-position model. The record is from RNAcentral.